GUGGGGAAUAUUGGACAAUGGGCGAAAGCCUGAUCCAGCAAUGCCGCGUGAGUGAUGAAGGCCUUAGGGUUGUAAAGCUCUUUUACCAGGGAUGAUAAUGACAGUACCUGGAGAAUAAGCUCCGGCUAACUCCGUGCCAGCAGCCGCGGUAAUACGGAGGGAGCUAGCGUUGUUCGGAAUUACUGGGCGUAAAGCGCACGUAGGCUGUUACUCAAGUCAGAGGUGAAAGCCCGGGGCUCAACCCCGGAACUGCCUUUGAAACUAGGUAACUAGAAUCUUGGAGAGGUCAGUGGAAUUCCGAGUGUAGAGGUGAAAUUCGUAGAUAUUCGGAAGAACACCAGUGGCGAAGGCGACUGACUGGACAAGUAUUGACGCUGAGGUGCGAAAGCGUGGGGAGCAAACAGGAUUAGAUACCCGGGUAGUCC
Molecule: ribosomal RNA, 425 nt
Filed under: uncultured bacterium
Lineage: Bacteria
Description: partial 16S ribosomal RNA
Rfam family: Bacterial small subunit ribosomal RNA
Source: RNAcentral